Molecule: transfer RNA, 73 nt
Filed under: Chrysotila carterae
Lineage: Eukaryota; Haptophyta; Isochrysidales; Isochrysidaceae
Description: tRNA-Arg
Rfam family: tRNA
About the family: Transfer RNA (tRNA) molecules are approximately 80 nucleotides in length. Their secondary structure includes four short double-helical elements and three loops (D, anti-codon, and T loops). Further hydrogen bonds mediate the characteristic L-shaped molecular structure. tRNAs have two regions of fundamental functional importance: the anti-codon, which is responsible for specific mRNA codon recognition, and the 3' end, to which the tRNAs corresponding amino acid is attached (by aminoacyl-tRNA synthetases). tRNAs cope with the degeneracy of the genetic code in two manners: having more than one tRNA (with a specific anti-codon) for a particular amino acid; and 'wobble' base-pairing, i.e. permitting non-standard base-pairing at the 3rd anti-codon position.
Source: RNAcentral
AUAGCUUUAGUUUAAACGGAAAAAACAAAGAUUUUCUAAAUCUCAAAUAAUGGUUCGAUUCCAUUAAGUUAAU